Syzygium oleosum is the source of this 1678-nucleotide RNA transcript. It is a transcript of the gene named bifunctional nuclease 1-like, with no coding region annotated. The record is from RefSeq and is a predicted model, not a curated record. The transcript has 11 exons. NCBI's taxonomy places the organism in Eukaryota, Viridiplantae, Streptophyta, Magnoliopsida, Myrtales, Myrtaceae.
CUUUCUCUCUCUAGCUCUCUCGCUUUCUCUCUCUCUCUCUCUCUCCUUCGGCCAUUUUUCAUCUGAUCCUUCCUUUCCUUUCCCUUCCCACCGCUCGCCGGUCCUCCGAUUCCAUCGUCUUCGCUCGCUUCUUCCGCUUCCCUCCCUCUCUUUGCUUCGAUCCUCCUCGCUGUUGCAGCAGUCGCCUCUCGCGCGCGCGCGCGCGCACGCCGGCCGUCCGCCGGCGUUUCCUCGGGGGUCCUUGGCCUUUCGCGCGGCGAAGCUCCGGUUCGGCGAUCGGAGGCGGAAUUCGGCGGCGGCGGCGAUCGGCUUCUCCGUCGAGGUGCGUCCCGAUGGGUCUUUGUUGCGUUGCUUCGGGCCGUUCUUCUGUAUUUUUUUUCUUUCGCGGUACGCUGGGUGUAGACUUUGAUAGAGGAGGCAUGGGAUCAUUACAAGGACCCGUCAUUUGUCCCACCGUUAAUGCGAAGCAAGCCGGUGCCUGCACUGUCCCCGUGACUGCCCCAUUCAUGAAGCCUAAGCUUCUUAGAAGUGAACUUUGGGGAUGCAGGGGAUCUCUUAGAGCUAAAACUAAAGUUGCUACAGUUACCCGCCUUUCAAUCACUCGAAGAUGCCGGGUGCCACGGUGCAGCUUCAGUUCGUCCUCGGACGGUAAUGGAAGCACUGCAGAGAACUUCAAUGAAAAUGAUGAGGACUAUGUCAAUUCCAGUAUAGUUGAAGCUGUUGAGGUGAAGAGUGGGGCAGAAGGUUUCACGAUUAAAAUGAGGGAUGGAAGGCACUUAAGAUGUGUCCACAACAAUCCUCAAGGGGGACAUCUGCCAGAUUAUGCUCCGCAUCCGGCUAUUGUCCUAAAGAUGGAAGAUGGGACCGGUCUUCUCCUCCCUAUAAUCGUUUUGGAGAUGCCAAGUGUCCUUCUCAUGGCUGCUGUGCGGAACAUUCAAAUUGCUAGACCAACUUUAUAUCAAGUGGUUAAGGAAAUGAUUGACAAGAUGGGAUAUGAAGUCAGACUUGUCAGAGUCACUAAGAGAGUUCAUGAGGCAUAUUUUGCUCAGUUAUAUCUUACAAAGACGAGCAACAAAUCAGAAUUUGUCAGCUUUGAUCUCCGACCUUCAGAUGCCAUCAACAUUGCAGUAAGAUGCAAGGUGCCAAUACAAGUGAACAAAUAUUUGGCUUACAGUGAUGGUAUGAAAGUUAUCGAGUCUGGCAAGCUUUCAGCGCAGACCCCUGGUUCGGAUGGGUUGUUGUUCACAGAACUUGAUAGGACUUCAUUGCUUUCAGGCCUAGUGGUCAGCCAUGCAUUGAGACAAAAGAGUUUGAUCUGGUGCGCAACAUGCUCAUAGCUGCUGUAGAGGAGCGCUACAGAGAUGCUGCUCAAUGGAGGGACAAACUAAGCCAGCUGCGAGCUAAAAGGAACUUCACAUGACACGUAAAGAUGCUACGACGAGUCCAAACUGUACAUAAACAUUAUUCGAAUCCGAUGAGGACACCAUUUCGAGUGAUCCGUCGUGUCCGCUCCCCCCUGCCUCCUAUAUGUAUGUAACAAUGUUUGUGAAUAUAUGUGUAUAGAGACUGAACUCCCAACUGUUAAUGCUACGGUAAAUGCGAUAUGGUAAAUGCGAAGUGGUCAAUUGAAGUCGAUAAUUUAUGCUUUGUAAUCCAUUUAUUUGUCUGCAUUUCAAUA